UACGUAGGGGGCAAGCGUUGUCCGGAAUCAUUGGGCGUAAAGAGCGUGUAGGCGGUCCGGUCAGUCGGUUGUGAAAGUCAAGGGCUCAACCCUUGAAAGCCGGUUGAUACUGUCGGGCUAGAGUCCGGAAGAGGCGAGUGGAAUUCCCGGUGUAGCGGUGAAAUGCGCAGAUAUCGGGAGGAACACCAAUGGCGAAGGCAGCUCGCUGGGACGGUACUGACGCUGAGGCGCGAAAGCGUGGGGAGCAAACAGG
RNAcentral lists this ribosomal RNA (253 nucleotides) under uncultured bacterium. RNAcentral describes it as "partial 16S ribosomal RNA". It matches the Rfam family "Bacterial small subunit ribosomal RNA", at positions 524 to 776 of the family's 1533-position model. The record is from RNAcentral.